RNAcentral lists this ribosomal RNA (1306 nucleotides) under uncultured Candidatus Saccharibacteria bacterium. RNAcentral's name for it is "bacterial SSU rRNA". It matches the Rfam family "Bacterial small subunit ribosomal RNA", at positions 28 to 1380 of the family's 1533-position model. The record is from RNAcentral. Lineage: Bacteria; Candidatus Saccharimonadota.
GAUGAAUGCUGGCGGCGUGCUUAACACAUGCAAGUCGAGCGGAAACAUGCCUUCGGGUGAUGUCGAGCGGCGGACGGCUGAGGAACACGUGGGAACAUACCCCAGAGUGAGGGAUAACGCACCGAAAGGUGUGCUAAUACCGCAUAAUCUCUACGGAGUAAAGCAGUAAUGCGCUUUGGGAAUGGCCUGCGUCGGAUUAGAUAGUUGGUGAGGUAAAGGCUCACCAAGUCGACGAUCCGUAACUGGUUUGAGAGGAUGAUCAGUCAGACUGGAACUGAGAUACGGUCCAGACUCCUACGGGAGGCAGCAGUGGGGAAUCUUUCACAAUGGGCGAAAGCCUGAUGGAGCAACGCCGCGUGCGGGAUGAAGGCCUUCGGGUCGUAAACCGCUUUUAUAAGCGAGAAAUAUGAUGGUAACUUAUGAAUAAGGGUCGGCUAACUACGUGCCAGCAGCCGCGGUCAUACGUAGGACCCAAGCAUUAUCCGGAGUGACUGGGCGUAAAGAGUUGCGUAGGUGGUUUGUUAAGUAGCAAGUGAAAUAUGGCGGCUCAACCGUCCAUCUGCUUGCUAAACUGGCAAACUCGAGAGCGUCAGGGGUAGCUGGAACUUCUAGUGUAGGGGUGAAAUCCGUAGAUAUUAGAAAGAACACCAACAGCGUAGGCAGGCUACUGGGACGUUUCUGACACUAAGGCACGAAAGCGUGGGGAGCAAACGGGAUUAGAUACCCCGGUAGUCCACGCUGUAAACGAUGGAUACUAGCCGUAUGGGGUUUUACCCCCUGUGUGGCGUAGCUAACGCGUUAAGUAUCCCGCCUGUGUAGUACGAUCGCAAGAUUAAAACAUAAAGGAAUUGACGAGGACCCGCACAAGCGGUGGAGCGUGAUCUUUAAUUCGAAGUUAAACGAUAAACCUUACCAAGGCUUGACAUCUGAAGAAGGCUCUCGAAAGAGAACUGUGCCUUUAUUGGAACUUCAAGACAGGUGAUGCAUGGCCGUCGUCAGCUCGUGUCGUGAGAUGUUUGGUUAAGUCCAUCAACGAGCGCAACCCUUGUCAUUAGUUGUAUUUUUCUAAUGAGACUGCCCCGGUAACGGGGAGGAAGGGGGGGAUGAUGUCAGGUCAGUAUUUCCCUUACGCCUUGGGCAAGAAUCGCGCUACAAUGGUAGGUAACAAUGCGGAGCGAAGCAGUGAUGUGGAGCAAAUCGCCGAAAACCUAUCCCAGUCCAGAUAAGAGGCUGAAACUCGCCUCUUUGAAGUCGGAAUCGCUAGUAAUCGCAGAUCAGCAUGUUGCGGUGAAUACGUUCCCGGGUC